UACGUAGGGGGCAAGCGUUGUCCGGAUUUAUUGGGCGUAAAGAGCGUGUAGGCGGCCGCACAGGUCCGUUGUGAAAACUGGAGGCUUAACCUUCAGACGUCGAUGGAAACCGUGCGGCUAGAGUCCGGAAGAGGAGAAUGGAAUUCCUGGUGUAGCGGUGAAAUGCGCAGAUAUCAGGAGGAACACCGGUGGCGAAGGCGGGUCUCUGGGCCGAUACUGACGCUGAGGAGCGAAAGCGUGGGGAGCGAACAGG
This 253-nucleotide ribosomal RNA is filed under the name uncultured bacterium. Its description in RNAcentral is "partial 16S ribosomal RNA". It matches the Rfam family "Bacterial small subunit ribosomal RNA", at positions 524 to 776 of the family's 1533-position model. The record is from RNAcentral.